UUCUGUUACUAGUUGUGCCCUGAAUGGAUU
RNAcentral lists this non-coding RNA (30 nucleotides) under Rattus norvegicus (Norway rat). Lineage: Eukaryota; Metazoa; Chordata; Mammalia; Rodentia; Muridae. The record is from RNAcentral.